This 500-nucleotide ribosomal RNA is filed under the name uncultured bacterium. RNAcentral describes it as "partial 16S ribosomal RNA". It matches the Rfam family "Bacterial small subunit ribosomal RNA", at positions 30 to 523 of the family's 1533-position model. The record is from RNAcentral.
AUUGAACGCUGGCGGGAUGCUUUACACAUGCAAGUCGAACGGCAGCACGGACUUCGGUCUGGUGGCGAGUGGCGAACGGGUGAGUAAUGUAUCGGAACGUGCCCAGUCGUGGGGGAUAACGUAGUGAAAAUUACGCUAAUACCGCAUACGAUCUAUGGAUGAAAGCGGGGGAUCGCAAGACCUCGCGCGAUUGGAGCGGCCGAUAUCAGAUUAGGUAGUUGGUGGGGUAAAGGCCUACCAAGUCAACGAUCUGUAGCUGGUCUGAAAGGACGACCAGCCACACUGGAACUGAGACACGGUCCAGACUCCUACGGGAGGCAGCAGUGGGGAAUUUUGGACAAUAGGCGAAAGCCUGAUCCAGCCAUUCCGCGUGCAGGAUGAAGGCCCUCGGGUUGUAAACUGCUUUUGUACAGAACGAAAAGGUUUCUACUAAUACUAGGAGCUCAUGACGGUACUGUAAGAAUAAGCACCGGCUAACUACGUGCCAGCCGCCGCCGUAA